GCCACGGUGGUCUAGCGGUUAGAACGCUGGCCUUGUAAUCCUGGGGUCUCGGGUUCGAUUCACGGCUGUGCCC
This 73-nucleotide transfer RNA is filed under the name Zootermopsis nevadensis. It matches the Rfam family "tRNA". From Rfam's summary of the family: Transfer RNA (tRNA) molecules are approximately 80 nucleotides in length. Their secondary structure includes four short double-helical elements and three loops (D, anti-codon, and T loops). Further hydrogen bonds mediate the characteristic L-shaped molecular structure. tRNAs have two regions of fundamental functional importance: the anti-codon, which is responsible for specific mRNA codon recognition, and the 3' end, to which the tRNAs corresponding amino acid is attached (by aminoacyl-tRNA synthetases). tRNAs cope with the degeneracy of the genetic code in two manners: having more than one tRNA (with a specific anti-codon) for a particular amino acid; and 'wobble' base-pairing, i.e. permitting non-standard base-pairing at the 3rd anti-codon position. Lineage: Eukaryota; Metazoa; Arthropoda; Insecta; Blattodea; Termopsidae. The record is from Rfam by way of RNAcentral.